RNAcentral lists this ribosomal RNA (468 nucleotides) under uncultured bacterium. RNAcentral describes it as "partial 16S ribosomal RNA". It matches the Rfam family "Bacterial small subunit ribosomal RNA", at positions 28 to 507 of the family's 1533-position model. The record is from RNAcentral.
GACGAACGCUGGCGGCGUGCUUAACACAUGCAAGUCGAACGGAAAGGCCCUGCUUUUUUGGGGUGCUCGAGUGGCGAACGGGUGAGUAACACGUGAGUAACCUGCCCUUGACUUUGGGAUAACUUCAGGAAACUGGGGCUAAUACCGGAUAGGAGCUCCUGCUGCAUGGUGGGGGUUGGAAAGUUUAGGCGGUUGGGGAUGGACUCGCGGCUUAUCAGCUUGGUGGUGGGGUAGUGGAUUACCAAGGCUUGGACGGGUAGCCGGCCUGAGAGGGUGACCGGCCAAGCUGGGAUUGGAAUGAGGCACAGACUAGACUGGUACGGAGGAGUGGGGAAUGGUGCACUAGGGAAGGAAGGCUGAUGUAGCACCGCCGCGUGGGGGAUGACGGGAAUCGGGUUGGAAAGCGAAGUCGUUUGUGACGGAGCGAGAGUGACGGUAAUGGGAAAAGAAGCACCGGCUAACUACGUG